Molecule: ribosomal RNA, 668 nt
Filed under: Entoloma abortivum
Lineage: Eukaryota; Fungi; Basidiomycota; Agaricomycetes; Agaricales; Entolomataceae
Description: eukaryotic LSU rRNA
Rfam family: 5.8S ribosomal RNA (bases 276-429)
Source: RNAcentral
AGGAACAAGGUUUCCGUAGGUGAACCUGCGGAAGGAUCAUUAUUGAAUAAACGUGGUUGGGUUGUUGCUGGCUUUUAGGAGCAUGUGCACGCUCACUCCAUUUUUAACCACCUGUGCACCUUGUGUAGAUCUGAACAAAUCUCGGGGAAACUCGGUCAGAGAAUUGCUGUGUGUAAAAGCCAGCUUUUCUUGGGUUCAGAUCUAUGUCUCUAUAUACACCAUAUGAAUGUAUUCGAAUGUAAUUGAUAGGCGUUACAGCCUCUAAAAUCAAAUACAACUUUCAACAACGGAUCUCUUGGCUCUCGCAUCGAUGAAGAACGCAGCGAAAUGCGAUAAGUAAUGUGAAUUGCAGAAUUCAGUGAAUCAUCGAAUCUUUGAACGCACCUUGCGCUCCUUGGUAUUCCGAGGAGCAUGCCUGUUUGAGUGUCGUGAAAUUCUCAACCUCUCUGGUUUUUUAAUAAGCUAGUUAGGCUUGGAUUUUGGAGGUUGCUGGCGUCUCAGAAAUCAGCUCUUCUUAAAUAAAUUAGCAAAGUCUUUGCUGACCAUCUCUGGUAUGAUAAUUAUCUAUAUCAUUGAGAAUCAGCUUCCAUCUCGGAAGGAUUUCGCUUCUAAUGGUCUAUAUCGACAACUUGACAAUCUGACCUCAAAUGCACGAGGAGAACCGUAGC